Nannospalax galili (Upper Galilee mountains blind mole rat) is the source of this 491-nucleotide long non-coding RNA. RefSeq lists it as uncharacterized. The record is from RefSeq and is a predicted model, not a curated record. Lineage: Eukaryota; Metazoa; Chordata; Mammalia; Rodentia; Spalacidae. The transcript is spliced from 3 exons.
AAGAAUGUCAAGUUGAUUUUGUAACUUGGAUCACUGCCUUACUCCUGUUUCCCUCAAUAUCUAUGUUAUAUCCUAUAUGCCCAGACCUGUUAAGAUGAACAUACUCUGGAGGAGGACACUGAGCCAAAGACUGCCGUGGAGUCUCUUAGAAGAAUUUUAAGACUGUUGCCAUGCCGACUAUGGACUCAUUGAUGAUACACAUAUUCUAGACUGUGACUCAGAGCUGGAAGCUGAUGAACAUGAGCAGCGGAACACAAGGCCUGAGGAGGUGUCCUAACGGGAUAGACAUCCAGACCCUUGAAAGAAGAUUUACACUGCUGUCUAGGCUUCUACACAUUCACUGCAACCCAUGGACAUUCUAGUUGCUGCUGAAAAGUUGAAAGAAGCCCAGAGUAGCACGCAGAGUCUGGAAUGUGAGUCAUCUACCUUCAAUCCAGUCAUCAGUAUUGGAGUAUUCCCAUUCUAUGUGCCCAGACCAGGACAGCAGAAUA